GGAGAGAUGGCAGAGUGGUUGAAUGCGGCGGUCUUGAAAACCGUUGAGGAGGGAACUCUUCCCAGGGUUCGAAUCCCUGUCUCUCCGUCA
This 90-nucleotide transfer RNA is filed under the name Coxiella-like endosymbiont. RNAcentral's name for it is "tRNA-Ser". It matches the Rfam family "tRNA". Rfam says of the family: Transfer RNA (tRNA) molecules are approximately 80 nucleotides in length. Their secondary structure includes four short double-helical elements and three loops (D, anti-codon, and T loops). The record is from RNAcentral. Lineage: Bacteria; Pseudomonadati; Pseudomonadota; Gammaproteobacteria; Legionellales; Coxiellaceae.